GCUGGUUCUCUCCGAAAUAGCUUUAGGGCUAGCCUUGGAAUAGAUUACUGGAGGUAAAGCACUGAAUUGGCUAGGGGCCGAGAGGUUACUGAACCUUAUCAAACUAAGAAUGCCAGAUAAUCGUUUUCCAGGAGUCAGACAGUGGGAGAUAAGUUUCAUUGUCAAAAGGGAAACAGCCCAGACCUACAGCUAAGGUCCCAAAUGUAUGCUAAGUGGAAAACGAUGUGGAAUUGCGUAGACAACCAGGAUGUUGGCUUAGAAGCAGCCACUCAUUAAAAGAGUGCGUAAUAGCUCACUGGUCGAGUGAUUCUGCGCCGAAAAUUUAACGGGGCUAAACUAUACACCGAAGCUUAGGAUACCGCAAGGUAUGGUAGGAGAGCGUUCUGUACGGAGUGAAGUCGUAGCGAAAGCGGCGGUGGACUGUACAGAAGUGAGAAUGCCGGAAUAAGUAGCGAGAAUUAAGUGAGAAUCUUAAUGGCCGAAAGUCUAAGGUUUUUGGAGGAAGGUUCGUCCGCUCCAAGUAAGUCGGGAGCUAAGGUCAGGCCGAAAGGCGUAGCCGAUGCACAAACGGUUGAUAUUCCGUUACCGUCUACAAUUUAAACAAGGGGACACAUACAAAGCGUUUAACCCGGGCGAUGGUUGACCCGGGCGCAAGGGACUGAAAUUAGAGUAGGGAAGUAAAUGUAGCGUAUGGCGAGAAAAGCUUUGUGUAUAGAAGUAGACGCCCGUACCGCAAACCGACACAGGUGGACAGGAAGAGAAUUCUAAGGCCAGCGGGAGAAGGGUAGUUAAGGAACUCGGCAAAUUGACUCCGUAACUUCGGAAUAAGGAGUGCUCGAAAGAGCCGCAGAGAAUAGGCCCAGGCGACUGUUUAGCAAAAACACAGGUCUCUGCCAAAUCGAAAGAUGAAGUAUAGGGGCUGACACCUGCCCGGUGCCGGAAGGUUAAGAGGAGGAGUGCAAGCUCCGAAUUGAAGCCCCGGUAAACGGCGGCCGUAACUAUAACGGUCCUAAGGUAGCGAAAUUCCUUGUCGGGUAAGUUCCGACCCGCACGAAUGGUGUAACGAUCUGGGCACUGUCUCAACUACCCACCCGGCGAAAUUGUAGUACCGGUGAAGAUGCCGGUUACCUGCGGCAAGACGGAAAGACCCCAUGGAGCUUUACUGUAGCCUGAUAUUGGGUUUCGGAAAUCUAUGUACAGGAUAGGCGGGAGACUGGGAAGUAUGAGCGUCAGCUUAUACGGAGUCAUUGUUGGGAUACCGCCCUUAGGUUUCUGGAAUUCUAACCUGCGACCGUGAAUCCGGUCGGGGGACAUUGUCAGGUGGGCAGUUUGACUGGGGCGGUCGCCUCCGAAAAGGUAACGGAGGCGCUCAAAGGUUGGCUCAGCACGGACGGAAACCGUGCCUCAGAGUGUAAACGCAAAAGCCAGCCUAACUGCGAGGAUGACGGUCCGAGCAGUAACGAAAGUUGGAGUUAGUGAUCCGGCGGUAUGUGAAUGGAAAUGCCGUCGCUCAACGGAUAAAAGCUACCCUGGGGAUAACAGGCUGAUCUCCCCCAA
This 1557-nucleotide ribosomal RNA is filed under the name human gut metagenome. RNAcentral's name for it is "bacterial LSU rRNA". It matches the Rfam family "Bacterial large subunit ribosomal RNA", at positions 848 to 2495 of the family's 2925-position model. The record is from RNAcentral.